UCAAAGAUUAAGCCAUGCAUGUGUCAGUACAAGCUAAAAUAAAGUGAAACCGCGAAUGGCUCAUUAAAUCAGCUAUGAUUCAUUGGAUCUGUACACCCAGUUUUCCUUGGAUAACUGUGGUAAUUCUAGAGCUAAUACAUGCACAUAUAGUCCCUAACCUCACGGGAAGGGCGCUUUUAUUAGAAUCAAAACCGGUCGGGCUUCGGUCUGUAAAACCAGUUGUGAUGACUCUGGAUAAUUUAUGCUGAGCGCACGGUCUUUGCACCAGCGCCGCUUCUUUCAAGUGUCUGCCUUAUCAGCUUUCGAUUGUAGGCUAUGCGCCUACAAUGGCUAUAACGGGUAACGGGGAAUCAGGGUUCGAUUCCGGAGAGGGAGCCUGAGAAACGGCUACCACAUCCAAGGAAGGCAGCAGGCACGCAAAUUACCCACUCCCAGCACGGGGAGGUAGUGACGAAAAAUAACGAUGCGAGACUCAUCCGAGGCCUCGCAAUCGGAAUGAGUACACUUUAAAUCCUUUAACGAGGAUCAAUUGGAGGGCAAGUCUGGUGCCAGCAGCCGCGGUAAUUCCAGCUCCAAUAGCAUAUAUUAAAGUUGUUGCGGUU
Molecule: ribosomal RNA, 602 nt
Filed under: Trapezionida stomifera
Lineage: Eukaryota; Metazoa; Arthropoda; Malacostraca; Decapoda; Munididae
Description: SSU rRNA
Rfam family: Eukaryotic small subunit ribosomal RNA
Source: RNAcentral